GCCAGGCGCGGUGGUGUGUACCGGUAGUCCCAGCUACUCGGGAGGCUGAGGCUGGAGGAUCACUUGAGUCCAGGAGUUCUGGGCUGUAGUGCGCUAUGCCAAUCAGGGGUCUGCAUUAAGUUCGGCAUCAAUAUGGUGACCUCCCGGGAGUGGGGGACCACCAGGUUGCCUAAGGAGGGGUGAACCAGCCCAGGUCGGAAACGGAUCAGGUCAAAAUUCCCCUGCUGAUCAGUAGUGAGAUCCCGCCUGUGACUAGCCACUGCACUCCAGCCUGGGCAACAUAGUGAGACCCCGUCUCU
This 299-nucleotide signal recognition particle RNA is filed under the name Aotus nancymaae (Ma's night monkey). Its description in RNAcentral is "Metazoan signal recognition particle RNA (ENSANAG00000009778.1)". It matches the Rfam family "Metazoan signal recognition particle RNA". From Rfam's summary of the family: The signal recognition particle (SRP) is a universally conserved ribonucleoprotein. It is involved in the co-translational targeting of proteins to membranes. Lineage: Eukaryota; Metazoa; Chordata; Mammalia; Primates; Aotidae. The record is from RNAcentral.